GAACCUGCGGAAGGAUCAUUGUCGAAAUCGAACGGAAGAACGACCCGCGAAUCGUCAUUGCGUACUAGACAGAGCCCGUGAGCACCUAACGCUCAUGGGACUCGCGUCGCGUCGGCGUGGGUGUACUCGAGACCAGCGUCGUACCGGCGGACAAACAACGUCAGCACGGAUCGUGCCAAGGAGCUGCAUGGAGAGAAUCGUCGUCCCACGCCUUUGAUAGUCCUCGAUGCGGGACGGGGGGCGGGGGAUGUACGCAAUCUCUACUAAAGUCUAAACGACUCUCGGCAACGGAUAUCUCGGCUCUUGCAUCGAUGAAGAACGUAGCGAAAUGCGAUACUUGGUGUGAAUUGCAGAAUCCCGCGAACCAUCAAUUCUUUGAACGCAAGUUGCGCCCGAAGCCAUUCGGCCGAGGGCACGCCUGCCUGGGUGUCGUGAAUCCCCUUGCCCCUAGGCACCCGCAUGAGCAUUGGCGGGGAUAUAUGCUCGGGCGCAGAAUAUGGUCUCCCGUGGGAUCGGCAUGCACGGCAUGUCGAGGUGCGGUUGGCCGAAAAUCGAGCAAUGGCUGUGACGGGCACCACGGCGUUCGGUGGAUCGAAUGAGAUUGGCUGCGCCGUGGGCUCGGCAUUAGGCGGGCUCCGGACUUUGA
This 646-nucleotide ribosomal RNA is filed under the name Miconia subcompressa subsp. subcompressa. Its description in RNAcentral is "eukaryotic LSU rRNA". The stretch from base 277 to 432 matches the Rfam family "5.8S ribosomal RNA". Lineage: Eukaryota; Viridiplantae; Streptophyta; Magnoliopsida; Myrtales; Melastomataceae. The record is from RNAcentral.